UACGGAGGAUGCGAGCGUUAUCCGGAUUUAUUGGGUUUAAAGGGUGCGUAGGCGGAAGGUUAAGUCAGCGGUCAAAUGUCGGUGCUCAACACCGGCCUGCCGUUGAAACUGGUCUUCUUGAGUGAGCGAGAAGUAUGCGGAAUGCGUGGUGUAGCGGUGAAAUGCAUAGAUAUCACGCAGAACUCCGAUUGCGAAGGCAGCAUACCGGCGCCCAACUGACGCUGAAGCACGAAAGCGUGGGUAUCGAACAGGG
RNAcentral lists this ribosomal RNA (253 nucleotides) under uncultured bacterium. RNAcentral's name for it is "partial 16S ribosomal RNA". It matches the Rfam family "Bacterial small subunit ribosomal RNA", at positions 524 to 777 of the family's 1533-position model. The record is from RNAcentral.